GCCCAGGAGCUAGUAACCUAUACUGAUUGUUUUCGUAAGGUACAUUUUCUGCCUUAAGGCAAACAACAGAAUCUAGAGAAUAGGCUAACCUUCCUGUGUUCCCUGAGCCCAGUCAUGAAGGGCCCUCAUUCCUGGGCCUCAGGCCAAGAAAGGAAUACUACAAAAGGGCUAGGGUCCCAGACCACACAGAAGCUCCAUGAGACCUCUCCUCAUCUGUGCAUGGUCGAGUGACCAACUCUGGAUCCCAGGCUAUUGCUUCCCGAUCUGGUGAUGAAUCCUCCAUAGUCUAAUGGGGUCUCGCUCUGUCCUGGAGUGCAAUGGCACGAUCUUGGCUCACUGCAACCUCCGCCUCCCAGGUUCAAGCAAUUCUCCUGCCUCAGCCUCCCGAGUAGCUGGGACUACAGGCACACGCCAACACGCCAGGCUAAUUUUUUGUAUUUUUAAUAGAGAUGGAGUUUCACCAUGUUCCCCAGGCUGGUCUUGAACUCCUGAGCUCAGGCAAUCCACCUUCCUCUGCCUCCCAAAGUGCUAGGAUUACAGGCAUGAGCCACCGCGCCCGGUCUAUUCAUUUUCUUAACAGGGUAUUUUGCUAAGAAGUUUUACAUUUUGGUGAAGUCUAGUUUUUCCAUUUUUUUAUUAUGGUUAUUAUUUCUUAUGACUUCAGAUUUCCUUCCCUUCACUUAAUUAAUGGAGGUAUUGUAGUAUGAUUUCUUUUACCUUGUAUUUUGAAAUUUUACCUUUUACUCUGUGGUCCAUCUUGAAUUAUCUUUUAUGUAUGAUGUGAGGAUGUGAGAUUACUUUUCUUCAUAUGAAAAUGCAAUUUUUCCACCUUCCAUUCUUGAAGAAAUUAACUUUCCCCAUUUGACUGUUUUGGUGUAUUGGACAGUAAGUUUAAAAAUAUGUUUUAAAAAGUAUUUGCCAUGUUUAAAAAAUUUUUAGAAAGAAAGGCCACAUUCUUGUCUUUUUCCUUAUCUUGGAGGAAAAGGCUUCAACUUUUCACAUUGAGUAUGAUGUUAGCUGUUGGAUUGUCAUACAUGGAUUUUCUUGUUGGUGAACUUUUCUUCUAUACCUAAUUUGUAAUUGAUAAUAAUAAUAUAUUGUUUAUAUCAAAACGGCUAAAAAAAGGAUUUUAGAUGCUCUCACCACAAAGAAAUGAUAGUAUUUGGGUGUGAUAAAUAUGUUAAUUGACCAUAUUUGAUUAUUCCACAAUGUACAUGUAACAAAACACCACAUUGUACCCCAUAAAUAUAUAAAAUUAUUAUUUGCAAUUAGAAAUAAAAUAUAACUUAAAAAAGAAAAUCCACAACUCCUUUCUAUAAUUUAUGAAUGUGUGUCAAAAGUCUUAAAUUUGAUUUUAAAUAUCUUGCUGUAACUGAUCUUUACUGUCUAUUCACAGGUCACUAGACAUCCU
RNAcentral lists this long non-coding RNA (1411 nucleotides) under Homo sapiens (human). RNAcentral describes it as "HSALNT0284309". The record is from RNAcentral. Lineage: Eukaryota; Metazoa; Chordata; Mammalia; Primates; Hominidae.